Molecule: small RNA, 127 nt
Filed under: Marmota monax (woodchuck)
Lineage: Eukaryota; Metazoa; Chordata; Mammalia; Rodentia; Sciuridae
Source: RNAcentral
GUUGGGUGUGGUGGCGCAUGCAUGUAAUCCCAGCGAUUUGGGAGACUGAGGCUAGAGGAUCAUGAGUUCAAAGCCAGCCUCAGCAACUUAGAGAGGCACUGAGCAACUCAGUGAGACCCUGUCUCUA